Lutra lutra (Eurasian river otter) is the source of this 855-nucleotide long non-coding RNA. RefSeq lists it as uncharacterized. The transcript is spliced from 3 exons. The record is from RefSeq and is a predicted model, not a curated record. Lineage: Eukaryota; Metazoa; Chordata; Mammalia; Carnivora; Mustelidae.
CGUGUGCUAGUUACGCCCAGCGCCGCUUUAGGUUUCUGGAAGUCUCCAUACACUCUUGGGGUCUUUCCCUGCUUCCCUAGGGGAACCUCUCCGUCUCUCCGCCGCUUCUCUGCGGCGGGGGGGGGGGGGGGGGGGGGGGGGGGGGGCGCUCAGAGACAUUGGGAAAGGCCCACUGACUGACCAUUGCUUGAACUUGUUAGUGGGCGGUGGCAGUGUGGUCGGCGUUCAGUACCCCGUCAUUGCCUGUGGUCCUUCGAAGAGUUCAGGAGAAGAAGGACGUCAUGACACCCAUUUGCAGAUAACAUGCCAGGGGUCGAAGGAUUUCACUUAGGGUCACACAGCAGAAAACGGUUUGGUAAAAUCUCCCAACAGUUGGUCUUCAGACCACCUGCAUCAGAUGUUACUGAGACCUUCAUAUAAAUGCUGUUCGAACAGGAUUGUGUCUGACUCCACUUUGCCUGACGCGCCAGUGUAUGUGGUAAUCUGCACAUUCCAGAGUGACGAGCUGGGCCUUCUGGACAGGCCUGAUGGAUUGACUGAUUUUAGAUUUUAUUUAUUUAUUUGAGAGAGAGGGAGAGCAUGAGUGCUCAGGGGGAGGUCAGAGAGGGGGAAAUCUCAAGCAGACUCCAUGAACCAAGUGUGGACUUGAUCUCAGGACCCUGAGAUCAUGACCUGAGCCACAACCAAGAGUUGGAGCCUAACCAUCUGUGCCACCCAGGAGCCCCCUGGGCAGGAUUUAUAAAGGAGGUGGUAGGAAAUGGCUUUGUUAUUCUUAGCUCUUUACUUUUUUCCAGACUCUAAAAAGGACUGGGAAAAUCAAGAAAAGAAGUGGAGACUGGAAAUUACAUUAAAGAU